UACAGAGGGGGCAAGCGUUGUUCGGAAUUACUGGGCGUAAAGGGCGCGUAGGUGGCCAACUAAGUCAGACGUGAAAUCCCCAGGCUCAACUUGGGAACUGCGUCUGAUACUGGAUGGCUUGAAUUCGGGAGAGGGAUGCAGAAUUCCAGGUGUAGCGGUGAAAUGCGUAGAUAUCUGGAGGAAUACCGGUGGCGAAGGCGGCAUCCUGGACCGAGAUUGACACUGAUGAGCGAAAGCUAGGGGAGCAAACGGG
This 253-nucleotide ribosomal RNA is filed under the name uncultured bacterium. RNAcentral describes it as "partial 16S ribosomal RNA". It matches the Rfam family "Bacterial small subunit ribosomal RNA", at positions 524 to 776 of the family's 1533-position model. The record is from RNAcentral.